This 253-nucleotide ribosomal RNA is filed under the name uncultured bacterium. RNAcentral describes it as "partial 16S ribosomal RNA". It matches the Rfam family "Bacterial small subunit ribosomal RNA", at positions 524 to 776 of the family's 1533-position model. The record is from RNAcentral.
UACAGGGGGUGCAAACGUUGCUCGGAAUCAUUGGGCGUAAAGCGCACGUAGGCGGUCUGUUAUGUCGGAUGUGAAAUCCCGAGGCUCAACCUCGGAACUGCGUCUGAAACUACUCGACUAGAGUACUGGAGAGGGUAACGGAAUUCACGGUGUAGCAGUGAAAUGCGUAGAUACCGUGAGGAACACCAGAGGCGAAGGCGGUUACCUGGACAGUUACUGACGCUCAGGCACGAAAGCAUGGGGAGCAAAAGGG